GCUAGGCAGCGUACGCACACUAAGAAUAUAUAAAUGACGUUUGCGUGCAGCACUAACCAUGGACACGGUCGUUGAAUAUGCUGCCGGCCUGCUGCGGCAUGUGUAACGAUGCAAGAUUGGAACAGUUAUCUGUUUUGUCGUAUGUACAUGAUGAAGCUAGACGAUUUCGACAUUAUGCUGUAGUAAAAGCCAGUGACAUUCACAGUGCUAAGGACGCUAAACUGAAUUGGCCUUACGCUGUUUGGCGACUCGUUUGCGCGCAAGAUACUACUCUCACCGUCAAAGAGGAGACGGCGGCGGUGGCGGUGGCGGUGGCGGCCGCUGCCGUGGCCGUUGCGGGGCCAAGAACUAGAAUGAAAAAGGGAGAAUAAGAAGAACUCUCGGAAAAUCAGGAAGCACCGCAGCAGUAACAGCGCAGGUUUUUGUACAAUGGACGAACGAUUCCAUCUGUCCAGGAUUAGGACCCGAAGGAGAAAAAACGGAAUAGAAUUAGGGAAACCCAGUUGGCGAUGUUAACAAGCAUUUUGGUUGCCUAUGGUCAUCGUAAAUUGUUGAGCGAAUAGAAGGUUUUUUACCUGCACUCCUCACAAUUAUUGCAAACAAGGAACGAGAACAGGCGCUCUACUCCAAUAUGGCCAAUUAUCGUUUUUCCUCUUUAUCUCCACGUCGUAAAAGCCUAAAUCAAACAGACAAACUUCACGUGCUGAAGAAACCUUCAAUGAGAUCACCGCCGCAAAUAAGUAUGCGUCUGCAAAAGAAACAGAGGCAGCUUCUAGCGUACCACGACGGAAAAUCUACGGCAGAGAAAAAAUAGUAUGGGUUCCAGUAUAAACGACAAAUUGCUACUCUCCAAAGGCAUAGCUUCCGCCGGGUCAAUUAGAAUUCGUGCAAAAUAUCAGGCAACGCGUCUACACUGUGAAACGUCUCCGCUGUAAUCAUCGUAUCUGUUGGCAGAUUGCGUAAAAGCUCGCGCGCACGUCGCCGUCGCCUGCAUUGGCGGGCGUCGUCUAUUUGUUGAUGUUGUUGUGAAGUCGUCAUAUCGUGAAUACAAGCUCAAUGUGAAAUCCGUAGAAAGCAGCCUGGUAAUGAUAGAUCCGAAGGUAGCAAACUGCAACAACUCUACCGCGCUCAUCGUCCGCUUCCUUUCGGCGGUAGGCAAUGCUUUUUAAUGCGACAGCUUAGUCUUGGUUUCGGCAGAAUUCCGAAAAGAUCGAUGAGGUUCUGCACGAGGCUGUGAAACUGGCCAUGUGCAACAUUCAACUUUCCUAUUUUAACUAUUCAAGAAAUAAAAAUGCCACCACUCCACUGUUA
This is an RNA transcript of Varroa destructor (honeybee mite), 1311 nucleotides long. RefSeq lists it as uncharacterized. Lineage: Eukaryota; Metazoa; Arthropoda; Arachnida; Mesostigmata; Varroidae. The record is from RefSeq and is a predicted model, not a curated record.